GGGAGCGUAGCUCAGUGGUAGAGCAUCUCAUUUGCAUUGAGAAGGUCUGGGGUUCAAUCCCCCACGCUUCCA
This 72-nucleotide transfer RNA is filed under the name Sporisorium scitamineum. RNAcentral's name for it is "tRNA-Ala (TGC) (tRNA-Ala-TGC-1-1)". It matches the Rfam family "tRNA". From Rfam's summary of the family: Transfer RNA (tRNA) molecules are approximately 80 nucleotides in length. Their secondary structure includes four short double-helical elements and three loops (D, anti-codon, and T loops). Lineage: Eukaryota; Fungi; Basidiomycota; Ustilaginomycetes; Ustilaginales; Ustilaginaceae. The record is from RNAcentral.